UAGGCAAAAGCCCGCUGGAUUGGGUGUUUAGCUGUUAACUAAAUUAUUUAUGGGAUCGAGGCCCAUUUGUCUAG
This 74-nucleotide transfer RNA is filed under the name Dogania subplana. RNAcentral describes it as "tRNA-Asn". Lineage: Eukaryota; Metazoa; Chordata; Testudines; Trionychidae. The record is from RNAcentral.